AAAACCCUUGGCUUUGAGGCAGAGAGAAUUAACUCUGACGAAAAUGAAUUCUAGCCGCUCGAUAUCCGCCGGCACUUGGCUUGUGAGGAAGCUUUGCACGGCGGUUGAGGCUGCGACGGAGUCGGCGCGGAGUCAGCCUGGAAAUCCCACUAGGCUGUACCGGAGGCUAUCGGCUUUGGGAGCCACCGGAGGCAGCGUGGCAAAGACGUUAAAUCAGUACAUUAUGGAGGGCAAAAUGUUGAAGAAGUACGAGCUCGAGAGCUGCAUCAAGGAGCUCCGCAAGUACCGCAAGUUCCAGCAUGCCUUAGAGAUAAUGGAAUGGAUGGAGUUUAGGAAAAUGAAUUACUCGAAAGCUGACUUUGCCAUACGUUUGGAUCUUACGUCCAAAGUGAAAGGGAUAGAGGCAGCUGAGGAUUACUUCAGCGGCCUAUCGCCGUCUUUAAAGGAUCGAUUUACUUACGGAGCCCUUUUGAACUGUUAUUGCAAGGAACUGAUGGAAGAAAAGGCAUUGGCUCUUUAUGAGACGAUGGAUGAGUUGGAGUUUGCUUCCUCUUCUUUGGUCUUUAACAAUAUCAUGUCUAUGCAUAUGAGAAAGCAGCAACCAGAGAAAGUGGCUCCUUUAGUGCAAGAAAUGAAGCAGAGGAACAUCCCUCUGGACACAUUUACGUAUAACAUCUGGAUGCAGAGCUUUGCGUCUUUAAACGAUUUUGAAGGAGUAGAAAGAGUCCUGGACGAGAUGCAAAAACAAGAUGGAAACCAAUGCAGUUGGUCAACAUAUAGUAACCUGGCUGCGAUUUAUGUAAAGGCUAAGAUUUUUGAUAAGGCUGAGCUAGCCCUUAAAAAGUCAGAGGAAAUGAUGAAACCCCUGAAGCAGCGCAAUACAUACCAUUUCUUGAUUAGCCUCUAUGCCUGCACUUCUAAUCUAGGUGAGGUCAAAAGGGUAUGGGAAUCCCUCAAGAAAGCUUUCCCAGCAACCAACAAUAUGAGCUAUCUUAUCAUGCUUCAGGCCCUCUGUAAGCUAAAUGAUAUUGAGGGCUUGAAAGAAUGUUUUGAGGAAUGGGAGUGCAAAUGCUCCAGUUAUGAUAUGCGACUGGCAAAUACUGCUAUACGUGGAUACCUCAGUCAGGACAUGUAUGAAGAAGCUGCAUUGGUCUUUGCAGAUGCCUGUAAGAGGACUAAAGGGCCUUUCUUUAAGGCUCGGGAAAUGUUCAUGCUUUACUUCUUGAAAAACUGUCAGGUGGAUUUGGCUGUUAGCUAUUUGGGAGCGGCUGUUUCAGAAACCGUGGAUGGGGAAUGGCAUCCAUCCCCAGAUACCACAAGUGCAUUUUUUAAGUAUUUUGAAGAAGAGAAAGAUGUUGAAAGUGCUGAGAACUUUUGCAAGAUUCUGAAGCGUCUAAAUUGCCUCUGUUCCAAUGAGUAUUAUUUGUUGCUUAAGACUUACAUAGCUGCUGGGAAAUCGGAUCCUGAGAUGCGUCAAAGAUUGAAGGAAGAAGAUAUUGAAAUAAGCCCCGAGCUUGAGAGUUUGCUUGAAAGGGUUUCCCCUGAGUAGAUUGACUGCAUAGAAGAGGGCCCUAUGAUUUUAACGCAUUUUCACUUCUUUAAAUUAUACACUGGAAUCUUUUAGUGUUCUUUUAAGAGUGCAUGUACCUUAUGAUUGCAUAAGUUGGGGCACCUAGGUUGGGACAACGUCUUUUCUUUGAUGCGGCUACUAUCGUAUCAAUAUGCAAGUAUGCAGCUAAUUCCUUAUGAAAACUCCGAGGGACAAAGAUUCAUGGUGUUUAAUUGGACUUCUGUAGGCUGCAUCUCACCCCUCGGCGCUCUUGAAUUCUGAGCCGCUUUUAGAGGUAGCUGUAAAUGAUAAAACAAUUUGGUUAAGCAGAUGUUUCUCUCUUUCUUCUUUUUGCCAGUGAUAAGCAGAUGUUUCUCAGGGAGCUGUAUUCGUCGACUAUUAUUAUUUGUAAAAUGUAUUAUCAUAAUUACUUCGUUCCUUAAUGAUUUCAGAUUCUUUGUUUUAAA
Prunus dulcis (almond) is the source of this 2016-nucleotide RNA transcript. It is a transcript of the gene named pentatricopeptide repeat-containing protein At1g02370, mitochondrial-like, with no coding region annotated. The record is from RefSeq and is a predicted model, not a curated record. The transcript has 3 exons. NCBI's taxonomy places the organism in Eukaryota, Viridiplantae, Streptophyta, Magnoliopsida, Rosales, Rosaceae.